Molecule: non-coding RNA, 72 nt
Organism: Penstemon davidsonii
Lineage: Eukaryota; Viridiplantae; Streptophyta; Magnoliopsida; Lamiales; Plantaginaceae
Source: the annotation of a GenBank genome assembly
GCCCUUAUAGCUCAGUGGUAGAGCGUCAGUCUUGUAAACUGAAGGUCUGCAGUUCGAUCCUGCAUGAGGGCA